RNAcentral lists this ribosomal RNA (449 nucleotides) under uncultured bacterium. RNAcentral's name for it is "bacterial SSU rRNA". It matches the Rfam family "Bacterial small subunit ribosomal RNA", at positions 355 to 825 of the family's 1533-position model. The record is from RNAcentral.
UCGAGAGGCUUUGGCAAUGGGGGAAACCCUGACGCAGCGACGCCGCGUGUGGGAUGAAGGUCUUCGGAUUGUAAACCACUGUCGCGAGGGACGAAGCUCUGACGGUACCUCGAAAGGAAGCACCGGCUAACUCUGUGCCAGCAGCCGCGGUAAUACAGAGGGUGCGAGCGUUGUCCGGAAUCACUGGGCGUAAAGGGCGCGUAGGCGGCCCGGUAAGUAGGGGGUGAAAUCUCAUGGCUCAACUGUGAGGCUGCCUUCUAGACUGCCAGGCUUGAGCACAGUAGAGGCGAGUGGAACUCCCGGUGUAGCGGUGGAAUGCGUAGAGAUCGGGAAGAACAUCGGUGGCGAAGGCGGCUCGCUGGGCUGUUGCUGACGCUGAGGCGCGAAAGCGUGGGGAGCAAACAGGAUUAGAUACCCGGGUAGUCCCUGAGCGGGCUGGCAAGGCGCAU